RNAcentral lists this unclassified non-coding RNA (183 nucleotides) under Glomeraceae sp. RNAcentral's name for it is "partial contains 5.8S ribosomal RNA and internal transcribed spacer 2". The stretch from base 1 to 71 matches the Rfam family "5.8S ribosomal RNA", at positions 84 to 154 of the family's 154-position model. The record is from RNAcentral. Lineage: Eukaryota; Fungi; Glomeromycota; Glomeromycetes; Glomerales; Glomeraceae.
GUGAAUCAUCGAAUCUUUGAACGCAAAUUGCACUCCCUGGUAUUCUGGGGAGUAUGCCUGUUUGAGGGUCGUUAGAACAAAAAUCGAAGCGUCGCUCUUUUUUUUUAAGGGUGAUCGCGUCGGAAUUGAGCCGUCUUCAAAUGGUAAUUCAAUGUCAAGUUGCCUUGAAUUUCAUCAACCGGG